Long non-coding RNA from Pantherophis guttatus, 1273 nucleotides. RefSeq lists it as uncharacterized. The record is from RefSeq and is a predicted model, not a curated record. NCBI's taxonomy places the organism in Eukaryota, Metazoa, Chordata, Lepidosauria, Squamata, Colubridae.
AAGAAAAUAUAUAAUUUAAUUGUAAAUUUUUUUUAUUUUUUUUUACUACUUAACCCCCCCGCUUGUCCACUUUUUUUUUGGAAGCAGACCUGGCAACCCUAUUUUCAGAAUGCUGUGCCAAACCCCUUUUCUUGAGCGGGGAGGAGGAAAACCACCUUUAGUGCAGGGCUCCUGCUCCCACUGCCACCGUGCAAGCCCGUCCACAGCAGAGGCACCAUCCAAAGAUCACCUUAUAAGAGAGACACCAGAUCAAGAAACUGACUCCUUAGGAAGACUAGAACUAUAAAUUAUUGACAUAGGCUAGUAGCAGAAUCCUGCAAGCCUGAAGGAAAAAGAACUCUAGAGGCCCCAAUGCAUGAGGAAAUUUCUCUGGAAAAAACUGAGCAAGCUAUUCUAACUCUGAAAAAGAGUAGAACUUCAUGAGGAGGAGUAAGAAUGCAUGAGUAAUGAGAAAAAUAGUGUUUUUUCACUGAAAAUGAGAGGAGAAUUCUGAAUUGGGAGAAUUCUGAACUUGCCAACAAGGAAGAAAAGAUACCAGGACUCACAAAAAGUCUAAAAUGGAGAAAGUACCUGAUGAAUGAAAAAAUGGAGAUGAAGGACACCUCUUCCUGCAACAGAAGUUCAGCAGAAAGGGAAAGAUACACAGGAUCCUUCCAAAUUUAUGGGGGAGGGGGAAUGGAAAAUGGAAGGGAGAAUUGUGAGGUUAAAAUGGGGAACCAGUGGCUCCUGGCCAAAUAUGCCAUUAUGUAAAGAUAUAACAACUGCUGGGCUUUAAAGCCAAGUAGCACUGGGACAACCAUCCAUUGAUUUGGAUGGAUAAUAGGAAGAAGCCACUAGUUUAAACUCAAAGACUGUAAAAUCAUUUACAUUUUUUCAUGGGCAGUGGGCAACCAACUCUUAUUUAUGGCUUCCUUUUUAUCUACAAUAAAGUUUUCAGCUGGCCCAAGAUGCUUCUGCCAAGCUUGGCCAAGAUACAUAAAGCCAUGAAAAAUCAUGAGUUACGUGAUUUGCUAAUGAAUCUUAAUGGGUGGAGCCCGACAACAGUAUUACAUCAAGUAUGUAACUUUUAGACAAACAUGAUAAAAUAGUAAGAUAAUAAACAGUUUGUAGGAAUUACAAUACAUUCAAAUAGCACCAUAUAUUUUACCUCUGCUGCUAUUGCUCUUUUAACACAUUCUUGCUGAUAAUCCUGGGUCUUCUUUAUAAGUUCCUCCAUUUUUAUUUUUUCACAUUCAAACCUAUUGCUGUGAAGUAAAGUUAAAGACUAUUAACA